GAUGAACGCUAGCGGCAGGCCUAAUACAUGCAAGUCGAACGGGAUCCAGAUCAAAGCUUGCUUUGGUCUGGUGAGAGUGGCGCACGGGUGCGUAACGCGUGAGCAACCUACCCUUGUCAGGGGGAUAGCCCGGCGAAAGUCGGAUUAAUACCGCAUGACAUCAUUGAGAGGCAUCUUUCGAUGAUCAAAGAUUUAUCGGACAAGGAUGGGCUCGCGUGACAUUAGCUAGUUGGUAAGGUAACGGCUUACCAAGGCUGCGAUGUCUAGGGGCUCUGAGAGGGGAAACCCCCAGACUGGUACUGAGACACGGACCAGACUCCUACGGGAGGCAGCAGUAAGGAAGAUUGGUCAAUGGACGGAAGUCUGAACCAGCCAUGCCGCGUGCAGGAAGACGGCCCUAUGGGUUGUAAACUGCUUUUAUACGGGAACAAACGUCGGUACGUGUACCGGUCUGAGUGUACCGUAAGAAUAAGGAUCGGCUAACUACGUG
This 490-nucleotide ribosomal RNA is filed under the name uncultured bacterium. RNAcentral describes it as "partial 16S ribosomal RNA". It matches the Rfam family "Bacterial small subunit ribosomal RNA", at positions 28 to 507 of the family's 1533-position model. The record is from RNAcentral.